UUUGGUGUACAAAUUACUUCAUCACUCAGAUAAUGAGCAUAGUACCUGACAGGUAGUUUUUCAGUCUUCAACCUCCUAUCACCCUCCACCAUCAAGUAGACCCCAGUGUCUAUUAUUCCUUUCUUUGUGUCCAUGUGUACUCAAUAUUUAGCUAACACUUGCAAGUGAGAACAUGUAAUAUUUUGUUUUCUGUUUCUACAUUAAUUUGCUUAUGCUAAUAGUCUCCAGAUCCAUCCAUAUCGCUGUGAAAGAUAUGAUUUUGUUCUAUUGUUAUGGCUACAUAGUAUUCUAUGGUGUAUAUGUACCACAUUUUCUUUAUCCAGUCCACUGUUGAUGGAUAGGCAUUUACAUUGAUUCCGUGAGUUUGCUAUUGUGACUAGUACUGUGAUGAAUAUACACAUGCAUGUGACUUUAUGAUAGAAUUAUUUAUAUUUCUUUGCCAGUAUUUCACUCUCUUUAGGAAGCCCUUUCCGACCUCCCUUACUCAUUCUUUUUGUGUAACACUUCAGAACACAAUGUGCCUAUUCUUCAUAUUACUUGCUGCUGUCACAUUUUGCAGUUUCAGGAUAAUCAGGUAAAUAAAUAUCUGCAUCUUUCACUAGGUUGUAAGUUCCAUAAGAGCCUUGCUUUAGUCUAUUGUGUACAUUACCUGGUACACAAUGGGCAUUCAAUAAAUAAUUGUUAAAUGAAUUAUAUAAUGCCAUAGUAGUUUUUAGCAACAAGUGGGCAUUUACCAUGUUCCAGAAAAUUUGGCAAGUGUUAUACAUAAAUUGUCUCAUUUAAUCAUCUCAAUUAUCUUAUGAAGAGAGUACUAUUAUUAUAUUAUUUUCUAUAGAUAAAGAAAUUGGGCCCAAAUAAUCUAAAAAUAUUUCUCAAAUUUGCAUAACUAAUAAAAGGCAGAAAAACAAUUUAAAUAUAUUUCUGUUAGGCUCCAAAGUUUGUGUUUAUUAGAAACUCAAGCUCUUUCAGUUUGUCUUUGCUAGAAUAGUUUAUCUGGACAUUUUAUUGCUGUCACAAGCCUUAAUAUAAAAUGUUAUCUUAUAUUUUUAUUUUCAGGAGGUCUCUACUAUAUAUUACUUGUUAAAAUUUUUAGGAAGCUUUAGGUUUGUUUUUCAGUGAUUCACUUAAGCAGGCAAAAAAUCCUACGUAUAAAUGACAUUUUCUGUCAAAUGAAACCUCUAUUUUCCUGUUAGUGUUUGCCUUUCACAUGUAAUACAUAUAUUUUAGCAUAUACAUCACCUCAUGCAAGGAAUAUUAACUUUAUAAUGUAUAAUACUUGAUAUAAGGUUUUGAAAAACACUGUUCCAUAACAUUUAAUAAAUCCAGGUCUUAGACCAAAGUGCAAAAUACACUGACUGACUUACUCAGUGCCUAGGCAAACUUGAAGAAGUUUUGGUACUAUUUUCAAAGUUUAUGCCUUCUCUCAAUGUUGAUAGAUGCUUGUAUUUCCGAGCUUAGCUGCAGAAUAACCUGAAUUUCAUACUACGGUGUCAUCUUUAUGUUGUUUCAACAUGUUAAUGAUGACAGACAUCCUCAUUCCCUAUUGGCAGUUACCCAUUCAAGACGUCUUUUAAUUUUUAUAGAUGUGCGAAUUAGAUGGCAUUAUUAGGAGUGCGGGUUGCUUGUGUUUUUGUAACUAUGUGUUGCCUUUUCAUUAUAAUCACCAUAUUGUGCAAUUCUAGGGAUCCCAAUCUCUAUUUUAGUUUAUGUAAAUGAUUCCUAAGGAGUUUCAUAGUGUAUAGCCUGUGAAGCCAUAUAUUGUGAAGUAUCAUCUUCUCUUUCUUAUUCACCCACAAAUAGUGAGUGAAUUCCACAUAGUAAUCACAGAAACAUAAAACGAAGACUUUGCUUAUUAUGUCCUCUGUUACCAACAUCAUAAAUGUCUUAUAUUUCCACACCUGAAUUUACAUAUAGUAAUGUCUUAUAUACUUCAAUUCCAAACAUUCUUGUAUUAAUUAGGCCUCUUAGUGACAAACACCUGAAACCAACUCUAACAAGUUAAGUAAAAACAAAUUUAGUAAGCGAUACUGAGGGCUCACAGAAGUGAUAAAAGGGUAGAAGAUCAGGAGGAUCUAUGAGAGCGAGGAGUAGGACACACACACAAAAAACACAGCUACUGUCUUUUAGAAGGGCCCACCCAUUUAAUAGAUAUUGCUGGCUUGUCAGUUUUUCUGCCAUCACCACCACAGCUGCUAUUGUAAUAGAUAUGUCAAAGUAUGUAUCCUGACUUUAAUACUUUAUUCAAUAUUUAAAGUCCAGGGAAAGGGUUUUUGAUUGGCUGCAAUUAGAUCAUGUGUCCAACCUCCUGAUCCUCUCAGCCCUAUAGGCGGAGUUAUGAAAUGGAACAGUGGAAGAUGGGCACAGGGAUUUAUCACUGUGCCAAUACUACACAUAAUGAAGAAGUAGUAAAUUCCCAAAAGUAAACUGAAAUGUUAUUAGGAAGGAUGUGGUUUCUGGCAGCCAAAAAUCCCUCAAUUUGAGCAAUGUCUGCUAUAAGCCCUCUUUCAUGUCAAUUAUGGGUUCCACUUGCAUUACCUACUUCUCACCUGUGACACUGCACAUAAUCUUUUCUUAUAUAAACUGGCUUUGCAGUUUUAUGUCCCUGGUACUGUUGGAAUCAAGUACACUAUCUUGGUUACUGGAAAGUAGAUAUUAAUAGAAUAAAAUAUAAGAAAUGUAAGAUUAGCAUCCCACUUCAAUAUUGUUCAUCUUCCUCAUAGAUUAAAAAAAAGACACUAAUGAUUUCACUAUUUCCCAUGCAUGAACCUGAGAACAGAGGAAUGCCAAAUUGCCUAGAAUUCCCUGGCUGCUGCAUUCUUUAAACUGUAUCUACCUAGGGGUCACUUAUAAAAUGAUGUUGCAUUGAAAACAGAUGGAAUUAUCUCAUACUGUAUUGGAAGAACAUUGCAUGCCCUAGUGAUUUAUUUACUCCCUCAUCUCUGUCCUGAUUCCAUUCUUUUCUCAUCUGUACUUGUGUUUCACUACGGCCUUAGCUCUGACUUUAGUAACAUGAUUAAUAACCUAAUUUGGGCUGGGACUGUAUUUCUUCAGUCUGUCUUCUGUUUGCUUCUUAAAACCAUGAACUACAUUGCUCAAUUCCUUGUUUCAUCUAUUCCAGACACUUUGAGUUACAGAAGUUUUAUUUAUGUUCCUGAGAUGGGAUCCACUCUCUGCUGUGCUUCAGGCCAGUCCAGCAUCUUUUCCUCAUGACCAAAACAGUUUGUCAAGAAGUAUUUUUUUCAAUUGCUCACAGAAAAUUGAUUCUCUGUAGCUGGCAUGUUUCUGUUUGUUCUGAUCUUUUGCUUCCCUCUAGCGGCCAAUGUUUGCAUAUGUAUAUGAGGCUAGCAAACUGUGUGUGUGUGUGUGUGUGUGUGUGUGUGUGUGUGUGUGUGUGUGUGUGUGUAUAAAAUUGAUGGAAUUUCUAUGGUUUCCGUCUCAUCACUCCAUUGCUAGCCAUAUAUAUAUGCACACACAUAUAUGUGUAUAUAUGUUUAUAUAUGAUCUAUAUGUGUAUAUAUUUGAUAUAUAUCAUAUAUAUGAUUUAUGUGUCUCAUAUAUCAUAUAUAUGGAUGUAUACAUUGUGAAACCCAAAAAUCUGAGACAGGUCUCAUUUAAAUUAGAAAGUUUAUUUUGCCAAGGUUGAGGACGCGCGCCCGUGACACAGCCUCAGGUGGUCCUAACAACAUGUGCCUUCCCAAGGUGGUAGGAGCACGGUUUGGUUUUAUACAUUCUAGGGAGACAUGAGACAUCAAUCAACAUAUGCAAGAUGAACAUUGGUUCGGUCUGGAAAGACGGGAUAACACGAAGCAAAGGCUGUAUAUGUCAGAGGAUAUCAUAUCUGAUCAAAAGAAAAAAAAGAUCAAGACAAGAUGAAAAGAACCAAAAUGUGAAUAUACAGUUAUAACAUUAAAAUUAAAGUAAAUAUUAUUUUUUACUAUCUCUGGGGGAACAGAACUAUUUGCUCUGCUGAUGGGUAUUUAUUUCCCUUUUCCUUAUUUAUAAGAAAGUGAAAGAUAUUUCACUGACAUAGAAUUUGACAGUUUCAGGAAUAUCAGAGUAGAUAGCAAUGAGUAUAAAGUAAACAAAAAAAGACAACUCUUAUCUAUUUUUCUACCACUAUACUAUUAUUUCUACUUUUACUUCUGGUACUACUACUAUUAUAAUGACAAUAAAGAAACUACUACUACUACCACCACCAUAAUGACCUCAUAAUAAUAACAAUUAAUGUAAAUCAAGCAAUAACUUUAUACCAGGCAAUGUGGUAAUUACUUUACAUACAUCUUAUUUAAUUCCCACAACAAUGCUCAGAGUCAGAUACUAUUGUAAGCCCUAACUUACAGAGGAAGACAUCCUAAGGCAUACAGCAGCUGCAGUCUGCCUGCCACUGAAUUUUAUCCAGGGUCUGAGCCUGCUGAAGUCAGUUGGUGAAGCAAGAGAAGACAGGCAGAAUAAGAUGGCAGAGAAAGACUCUCCAGCGACCAUCCCUCAAUAGAAACAUCAAUUUGAACAACUAUCCACACAUGAAACAAAUCUUCGUAAGACUCAGGAAACCAGGUGCAGGACAAAGGACAGACAGAACUCAGUCAACCCUCUGCUCACCUGAGAAAAAGUGCAUAUCUAAUUGCUUCUUUGGCCCUAUUGUUUAUGCAAGAAUGCUGAUUCAUUUGUCUAUUUUGGCUUUUGUUGCCAUUGCUUUUGGUGUUUUAGUCAUGAAGUUGUUGCCCAUGCCUAUG
Molecule: long non-coding RNA, 4733 nt
Filed under: Homo sapiens (human)
Lineage: Eukaryota; Metazoa; Chordata; Mammalia; Primates; Hominidae
Description: HSALNT0408136
Source: RNAcentral